RNAcentral lists this ribosomal RNA (251 nucleotides) under uncultured prokaryote. RNAcentral's name for it is "partial 16S rRNA". It matches the Rfam family "Bacterial small subunit ribosomal RNA", at positions 525 to 775 of the family's 1533-position model. The record is from RNAcentral.
ACGUAAGGGGCAAACGUUGUUCGGAAUUACUGGGCGUAAAGGGCAUGUAGGCGGUUUAGAAAGCGUGGCGUGAAAGACCACGGCAUAACUGUGGGGUUGCGUUGAGAACUGCUGAACUUGAGUUACGGAGAGGGAGCUAGAAUUCCUGGUGUCGGGGUGGAAUCUGGAGAGAUCAGGAAGAAUACCGUUGGCGAAGGCAAGCUUCUGGCUGAUAACUGACGCUGAGGUGCGAAAGUGUGGGGAUCAAACAG